This 491-nucleotide ribosomal RNA is filed under the name uncultured bacterium. RNAcentral's name for it is "partial 16S ribosomal RNA". It matches the Rfam family "Bacterial small subunit ribosomal RNA", at positions 29 to 507 of the family's 1533-position model. The record is from RNAcentral.
GUGAACGCUGGCGGUAGGCCUAACACAUGCAAGUCGAACGGCAGCACAGUAAGAGCUUGCUCUUACGGGUGGCGAGUGGCGGACGGGUGAGGAAUACAUCGGAAUCUACUUUUUCGUGGGGGAUAACGUAGGGAAACUUACGCUAAUACCGCAUACGACCUACGGGUGAAAGCAGGGGAUCUUCGGACCUUGCGCGAUUGAAUGAGCCGAUGUCGGAUUAGCUAGUUGGCGGGGUAAAGGCCCACCAAGGCGACGAUCCGUAGCCGGUCUGAGAGGAUGAUAAGCCACACUGGAACUGAGACACGGUCCAGACUCCUACGGGAGGCAGCAGUGGGGAAUAUUGGACAAUGGGCGCAAGCCUGAUCCAGCCAUACCGCGUGGGUGAAGAAGGCCUUCGGGUUGUAAAGCCCUUUUGUUGGGAAAGAAAAGCAGCAGGUUAAUACCCCGCUGUUCUGACGGUACCCAAAGAAUAAGCACCGGCUAACUUCGUG